Onychomys torridus (southern grasshopper mouse) is the source of this 1248-nucleotide long non-coding RNA. RefSeq lists it as uncharacterized. The transcript is spliced from 3 exons. Lineage: Eukaryota; Metazoa; Chordata; Mammalia; Rodentia; Cricetidae. The record is from RefSeq and is a predicted model, not a curated record.
CACCUCAGAGAACUCCAAGCUGCUGGUACCCUGUCUGUGGACCUCUCCAACUGCUUCCGUAGAUCUGGAGCCGAGGCCCCAAGGAAAACUUGAAGCUGCAUUGGAAUUGCUGCUGUUUGAGCUUGAAGCCCAGAGCUGGCCUCUGGGGCAGGGGACAGACCGGCUUUGUGCUUCCCUUCAGUAUUCUUCUUCCUUCUCUUUCCCCACAAAGUGAGAAAGACUGGAGCCCCAAAAAAGUCCAGCAUGUAACAGGCACAUGACAUCCAUUUGUCAAAGAAGUCAUGGACGAGAGUCAGGCCAGGCAGAAGAUAUCGAAUGAUGUUCUGGCCCAAAGCAGACCCUGAGACUAGUAUUUUCUUGAUUUCCACAUGCAAGGAAGGGAAUGGAAGGAGGGAGAGGAGAAGCCAAUGGUGAGUAUGUCAAUGCUGGGUACCAGUGUGGACAAUGGGGCUCCUUCACAUUGCUGGGAUCAUCCAAGGAACCAGAGUGGAUACACCAGAACAGUCCUUCUGAGGAAGGAGAGAAGGAGCGGCUGCAGUAUUUAUUGGAUCUAGAUCCUCAUCAAUGAGGUUUUCUCCAGUCUCCCUUGAAUUCUGGUCAUGUGUGGGCUCUUCUGAGUGCAGGCUGGGGUGUCUUAUGAAGCUAUGCCUGCAGUGUGGACCCGGGAGCUGAGCUCCUUUGGUGACUGUCCACCAAAGCACAGGUGAGCUCAGUGGAGAACUCAGGGCUGGGCUAUUGAUAGCUGCACCCAGGUACCUAUUGGAGAAACAGUCUUCCUAACUGAGAACCACACAUUGGGCACCCGUUGUGCUCAUAAGGGCACAUGACUUGCAUCAACUCGGCCCAGCACAGAAGCCAUUGCUAUGGAGACAGAUGCCUCUGGGACCCUGUUUAACAUGGAUGCCAGGCGUUGUAAAACUGCAGAUGCAAAACCGUGCUUAGCACACAGAAGACACUCAAUAAAGUGUGUUGAAGGAACAUUCCUGGCAGUGGAGGGGGUUGGCGAGAUGGAGGGAAAUUCAGGUGUCAGUGCUUAAAUGACUUCACAGUCUAGGGAGGUCUGACUCCGGGGGUCCCAAUCUCUCCAGAGAGUUCAAAAGCAGAUGGAGCGGGACCUCGUGGUCCAGGCUCAUUAUCCCAGCCAUGAAAGAGGUUGAGGCAGGAGAAUAGAAAGUUCAAGUUCUGUCUGGGCAACUUAGAGACUCUACCUCAAAAUGAAAACUAAAAAGAGGGCUGGGGAUAUAGCUC